Molecule: ribosomal RNA, 494 nt
Filed under: uncultured bacterium
Lineage: Bacteria
Description: partial 16S ribosomal RNA
Rfam family: Bacterial small subunit ribosomal RNA
Source: RNAcentral
GACGAACGCUGGCGGCGUGCUUAACACAUGCAAGUCGAACGGUGAAGCGCCUUCCUUUUUGGUGGGUGUGGAUGAGUGGCGAACGGGUGAGUAACACGUGAGUAACCUGCCCCCUUCUUCUGGAUAACCGCAUGAAAGUGUGGCUAAUACGGGAUAUUCUGGGUCUGUCGCAUGAUGGGUCUGGGAAAGAUAUUGUUUCGGUGGGGGAUGGGCUCGCGGCCUAUCAGCUUGUUGGUGGGGUGAUGGCCUACCAAGGCGGUGACGGGUAGCCGGCCUGGGAGGGUGGGCGGUCACACUGGGACAGAGGCAAGGCCCAGACUCCUACGGGAGGCAGCAGUGGGGAAUAUUGCACAAUGGGCGCAAGCCUGAUGCAGCGACGCCGCGUGAGGGAUGGAGGCCUUCGGGUUGUGAACCUCUUUCGCCAGUGAAGCAGGCCUGCCUCGUUUGUGGGUGGGUUGACGGUAGCUGGAUAAGAAGCGCCGGCUAACUACGUG